GGAGCUGUGCCUGAACAAAAGGGUUACUUUGAUAGAGUAAAUCAUGGAGGUUAAAACCCUCCCACCUCCU
RNAcentral lists this transfer RNA (70 nucleotides) under Chasmodes bosquianus (striped blenny). RNAcentral describes it as "tRNA-Ile". It matches the Rfam family "tRNA". Rfam says of the family: Transfer RNA (tRNA) molecules are approximately 80 nucleotides in length. Their secondary structure includes four short double-helical elements and three loops (D, anti-codon, and T loops). The record is from RNAcentral. Lineage: Eukaryota; Metazoa; Chordata; Actinopteri; Blenniiformes; Blenniidae.